GUGGGGAAUAUUGGACAAUGGGCGAAAGCCUGAUCCAGCAAUGCCGCGUGAGUGAUGAAGGCCUUAGGGUUGUAAAGCUCUUUUACCCGGGAUGAUAAUGACAGUACCGGGAGAAUAAGCUCCGGCUAACUCCGUGCCAGCAGCCGCGGUAAUACGGAGGGAGCUAGCGUUGUUCGGAAUUACUGGGCGUAAUGCGCACGUAGGCGGCUGUGUAAGUUAGAGGUGAAAGCCUGGAGCUUAACUCCAGAAAUGCCUUUAAGACUGCAUCGCUUGAAUCCAGGAGAGGUGAGUGGAAUUCCGAGUGUAGAGGUGAAAUUCGUAGAUAUUCGGAAGAACACCAGUGGCGAAGGCGGCUCACUGGACUGGUAUUGACGCUGAGGUGCGAAAGCGUGGGGAGCAAACAGGAUUAGAAACCCUGGUAGUCC
Molecule: ribosomal RNA, 425 nt
Filed under: uncultured bacterium
Lineage: Bacteria
Description: bacterial SSU rRNA
Rfam family: Bacterial small subunit ribosomal RNA
Source: RNAcentral